GGCAAGCGGUUUUGGAUGAACUGCUUGUCAAAAUGCCAAUGGCAAGCGGUUUUGGAUGAACCGCUUACCAAAAUGUAAAUGGCAAGAAGUUUGAGCAUUGAGCCGCUUGCCAUUUGGUCAAAAAAACCUAGAAAAGUAAAACCCAGCUCACGUCCUCAUCUUCUCUCUCCUCCGUCCCCUUUCCCCUCAUUUUCACGCUCUCUCUCCUCUGAUCUAUCCCCUCAUUUUCACGUUCUCUCUCCUCUUUUUCCCCUCCAUUACGCCUUAGUUCUUUCUCCUCUAUCUCCCCUCCAUCCUUUAUCUUCUUCUCUUUCUUCUCUUAUCUCCUUUCUCAGCCUCCCUUCUUUCCUUUCUCACGCCUCACCACAACGAAGGACGACGGACACAUAUCUCACGCCUCACCACAACGAAGAACAACGAACGACGAACGCCUCAGUACCCAACGACGAGAAUGAAGAAAACGUUUGGGUUCAGUUUUCCGGCUCGGCGUUAGGGUUCAGAUUGCUGCUUCUCAAGUCAUAUCUCACUUGAUUUUCCGAUACGGUGAAUCGGGAUAGGGUGGUGGUGGUAAUACGGGUUAAGGUGGUUGGUGGUUGGUGGUGGCAGCUGGUGGUGUGCACGGCUGGUGAACAAGAGCAGCAUCAGUUUUAUUUUGCUUGUUUUUUUUUUUUUUUUUUUUUUUUUUUUUUUUUUUUUAUGAAAAUGUAAUAUUACAACAAUUAAUUAAUAAAAAUAUUAAUGUUUUUGCAUAUAUUAUGUUUGUGUUACAAUUUAAUUGAAAAAACUAA
This is a long non-coding RNA of Chenopodium quinoa (quinoa), 788 nucleotides long. RefSeq lists it as uncharacterized. The transcript is spliced from 2 exons. The record is from RefSeq and is a predicted model, not a curated record. Lineage: Eukaryota; Viridiplantae; Streptophyta; Magnoliopsida; Caryophyllales; Amaranthaceae.